Long non-coding RNA from Zalophus californianus (California sea lion), 2484 nucleotides. The record is from Ensembl. NCBI's taxonomy places the organism in Eukaryota, Metazoa, Chordata, Mammalia, Carnivora, Otariidae.
AGAAAAUAAGAAGGUUACCCAGCGGCCCACACAGCAGCUUCUUCCCUCCUUGUCCUCCUCAGAACAGGACUGAGACAACCAUUCUGUGCCCCAGAAGCAAGUGGGAACCUUAUGAAAGAAUUGUGCAGGAUACCUAAGCUUAGUUUAUCCGAGAGGGAGGAACCACGCCCCAGGAGCCAAAGAACCUCACCCAUGCCUGGACCUGAGUUAGAUGAUGACCACCUGAGCAUGAUGCUGUACCAUGAGAACACCAGGGGUCACAGGAGGGGCUGAAUGUGUUUUGUCUAUAGUCAGAGGGCAGGCAAAUUCUCACACAAUAAAGAUGACUGUAAGUUCUUUGGCAAUCUCCUCAUUGAGUUAGGGGGUGUUGGUCUCUUCCCCUUGAAUCUGAAUGGGCUCUCUGACUGCCUUGGCACAUAGAAUAUGGAUGAAGUGAUUAAGUGCCAGUUUCUGGGCCUAAGCCUUAAAUAAAUAAUGGUUCCACUUUCUGUAUCUUAGAAUACUUACCGUUGGAGUCUUGACUCUCCCUGUAAGCAGUUCGGCUGUGGGGAGGUCCUGAGAUAGGGAGAAGAGCACAGCUGAAUCUAACCUUCCAACAAUUCCUGCGAAGGCCGGGCAUCUGAGUGAAUCCAUUUGGGGCCCAUCAGCUGAAUGCCACCAAAAUGACUCCAGCCAACACCACAGGGAGCAGAAGAACUUCAUAACUGAACCCUGACUACAUCUCUGACCCACAACAGAAUCAUAAAAUGUCAUAAAAUGUUUUGAUUUUUAGCCACUUAGAUUUUAGCCACUUUGGGGUCAUUUAUUGGCCUGUCAUAGAUCACGGGAACGUUUCCGUGUGAGACAUCUCAUGCUGCAGCUGGUGGGACACAGAGAAAAAGCAUUCAUAUCAUUUUAAUACGGAAAAGAAGAACUGCUGUUUCCCUUGCUCUUGGGGUGAAGUUGGCCUCAGGGGCAGGUAUUGUCUGUUCCCCAUACAAUACAUUUUUCCAGCACCACAUUUACUGGAUUUGUAAGCUUUAUGAAUUUUGGAGUUCAGUAACUGGAGGCUAUAGAUAUAAUAUAGAUAAUAAUACUCUACAUUUUCCUCCCAAGCUUUAUUAAUAAAGAUUGUUAUGUUUUGGUCACUCCUUGUCUUCUCAUAUCUUUGGAAUUCAGAUGGAGCCAUGGGGGGAUAUUUUUUCAUCCCUCUCUAAAGUAGUUCUGCCAAGCCCAAUUUCCAGAAUUUUAAUGCAAUCAGAUUGGUUUUAUUUGCUUAUAGUGAAAUGCAGAGGAAAGAGCUGAUUUUUUUUGUCACAUUCCAUUAACCAAUGUAAAUAACUUUUCCAUAUGCUCACUGAACAAUUUAAAUGCAUUUCUGCAGUCAACCUGCCUUUAAUCUUUUUGCAACAUAUCUGUUAACUGGGCAGUUGAGCUCUCCAUGGCACCUCUCCCUCCUUAUGGUUAGAGAGUGAGGAAAAUUAUAGAACUUCAACCCUUACAGUUAAUCUGUAAAAUUUUUAAUGCUCAUUUUUUUUUAGAUUUUUAUUUAUUUAUUUGUCAGAGAAAGAGAGAGAGAGAGAGCACAAGCAGGGGAGCAGCAGAGGGAGAGGGAGAAGCAGGCUCCUCACUAAGCAAGGGAGCCCGAUGUAGGACUCGAUCCCAGGACCCUGGGAUCAUGACCCGAGCCGAAGGCAGACGCUUAACGAUUGAGCCACUCAGGUGUCCCAGGCUCAUUUAAUUUAAACCAUAAAAAAAAUCCCAUUUAAUCAUACGCUAUAUACAUAAACAGAUAGGUUUAAAAUCUGGUCUUAAGAAGUCUUGGGAAAUCACUUGCUUUAAAGCUGUUCUAAGAAUUUGUAUAUUCUACUUAUUGUUGACUUCCGGUGUCUUCUCUGAGCUGGCCAUCUGUGAAGCCGUCUCUUGGCCUUCUUUCCUCACAACUAACUCUGGUCAUUGCAAGCCACACAACCUAGAAAACUUCAAAUCCAUUUUAAUUUUCUCAGGUGGAGUAAGAUUACAAAAGCUCUGUUUAUCUCCCUAGCCACCUUUCAUUUCUUCGCAUUUCAUUCAGGGAGACAAAGCAGUCUCCUCCCACCUUCUUCCUAAACCCAUCCUGUUUAUUCACAGCGACAGUCAUGCAGAUCCAGCCUUGUUAUUCUCAAGCUAACUCCAAACAUCUAAGUGGUUUUAGGCUCCCCAAUAUUUCCGAUAGCUAUUAAAUAAGAAUCUAGAUGUAAGAAAGUGUAGAAUAUAAGGUAUCCCUUAAAUAAGAAUCUGGAUUCUCUAGCUGUUUUGUGAUUCAAUCAGAGUUCUACAUCCCUCAGUAGACUGGAUUAUUUUGGGAUUCCAUCCAAAGGGACAACUGUGUACUGACAAGAUGUCCCCUUUCUCUGGCCUCCUCAGUACUAAUAAAGGAGGGCUCCAAAGGUCUGUGAUGUUCUGGUGAAAGCCUCACCAUUCUCUCUCCCUCUACCUUCAGUCCUGGUACCCACAGCUUCCCCA